GUUCGUAAAAUCUUCCGAGCCUUCUAUUCCUAAAGCGUAAUGCCAUGGAUUCCAGGCCGUUCAGGGUGAGUUGCGGAAACGGACUUGCCUUCCAUUUGAAAAGGAGGAAAUAUUAAUAAUGU
This 122-nucleotide non-coding RNA is filed under the name Pseudobacteroides cellulosolvens. RNAcentral's name for it is "MoCo sequence". It matches the Rfam family "Molybdenum/Tungsten riboswitch aptamer (Moco RNA motif)". Lineage: Bacteria; Bacillati; Bacillota; Clostridia; Eubacteriales; Oscillospiraceae. RNAcentral also lists the same sequence under 1 other name. The record is from RNAcentral.